GCAGAGAUGGCGGAACGGCAGACGCGUUAGAUUCAGGUUCUAAUGUGAGUAAUCACGUGGGGGUUCAAAUCCCCUUCUCUGCA
This 83-nucleotide transfer RNA is filed under the name Cellulosilyticum sp. Its description in RNAcentral is "tRNA-Leu". It matches the Rfam family "tRNA". Rfam says of the family: Transfer RNA (tRNA) molecules are approximately 80 nucleotides in length. The record is from RNAcentral. Lineage: Bacteria; Bacillati; Bacillota; Clostridia; Lachnospirales; Cellulosilyticaceae.